Molecule: long non-coding RNA, 8488 nt
Organism: Synchiropus splendidus (mandarinfish)
Lineage: Eukaryota; Metazoa; Chordata; Actinopteri; Syngnathiformes; Callionymidae
Exons: 6
Source: RefSeq, a predicted model, not a curated record
UAUUGGAGCAAGCGCUUACGGCGGUACCGGAAAAAUAUCGUCCGGCGACGAUGAACGCACCACACAGAGCCCAGUCACCUGCUCUUCUACUUCCGGUUCAAACGACCCAUCCCGAUAGUAUUUUCGUUUUUGUUAUUCCGUUUUCGGCACAAAAUCGGCUGCACGAAAAACGACUUGUUUUUUGUUUGAUGGAAUUCGUUUUCAAGACGAAUAAUAAAACAACGAGCCAUUAUUUUGUUUUAUUUGUAUCAUUUCAACUUUCGUUACACAACAAAAAUUGAACGAACGAAUCCUACGUGCAGCGGGACAUUUGACAAUGGAGAUACUCCAGAAGCAAAAUUGACAGUCACCGCGGCCUUGACAUCGACAUCUGGACGACAGAAGACAGAAGACCAUAAGAGCAGCGCGAGCCACCGUUGCUCAACACGUGGAUCGGCGCUUCCCCCAGCACAGGACAUGCUGCAACACCUCAGGCUCGGAUGAGAAGGGAGCGGCAGCAGUCUGGAAUCGCAACACUUCACAGAAAACGGACGAGCAUCCCUGGCCCCAUCUGCGUCCUAACCUCGCUGUCCCACCUUCCUCCGGGCGACCCCAUGGACCACAGGGGAAAUAGAGGAGGAAGCGUGCUCGCAGUUCCUUUCCGCUUGACACCAGGUAACACCCAGUAUGAAACAAAAACACAGUACCACACACACACACGCACGCACCACAUCAGUGGGCUGCAGGACCAAAUACUUUGUUAGAGAUAAGUUGAAUGCAGAUCCAGAGCAACUUUUAAAUGUGGUGUUAUGAUACCUGCGUUACCGAUCUGACACGCUGAGCUGCUGCACAGGUAAGAAAUGUCUACUCAAACAAACAGCAAGUGCCCCGGGCCAAGGUGAGGCCACUCACACUGACAAGGGUUUUAGCUUCGGGACAUUAAGAACCAGUUCCAAAGGUAUAACCAGAUAUAUAGCACAUAUAUGGACAGAAGAGAUUAACCCUUACUGUCAGCAACUUGGAUAAGAGAACGCAACUCUUGUGAGAACCGCACACAUUUGGCUGACUUUGUCACUAUCAAUCACUUUGACGGAAGCAAUUUGAGAGGAGCCCGACAUUUACAGCUGUGGGGCGCUAGACGUCUCCAGACUGCACGUUGGGAAGAACAACGUAACCAAAAAGUGAAGGAGCCGUGAAGGGUGUGGCAAGUGAGGAGGAACACGCUGAAAAGUCGCCGCCAACAAUGACGAAUCCAAAAUGUAGUCCAGCAUCGAUGCUGGUCAGGCUGCACACAUCCGCUUUUAAACAACUGAAAUAUCAAAGUUUAGCUUUAAUGGCAUUUUUUCUGACGUGAAAUGAAAUAAUUGUGUCUGAAAUGUGUUCUUUCCUUGCACCCCUUAUGCUAUAAAACCUGGUUUCAAUUAGCUUGUCUUUCCAAACCACUACAUUCCAUUACUCCCCCUCGUCGCCCCCGCGCAGCCCAUCCCCCCCCCACACUCUAACUCUUGCUCUCUUUUCCCUUCUUCCACUCUUCUCCUCCUCCUCCUCCUCCUCGCUUUCCUCUACACAGCCCUGUCCAAGUUGAGAAACUUUCAGUGAACAUGCAAGUAAUAUAUGGCUCUAUUGCCUAAGAACUGAAACAUCCAGUUCAUUUCACCCGCAGUAGCAAAAGAAAAGCACAUAUCUGCAGCACAUUUCAAGACAUGUACAACUAGGAGCCCCUCACACCCUUGUAUCUCAUGGAGGAGCUUUCUUUCUGUGAAGGGUGUGCCUUUGCUCUUAUGGGACCAACACGGGGAAGAAAAAAAGAAGGAGGGGAAAGGAGGAGAGGAAUCCACACCCAAGCUUGCAGAAUGUUUCAACAUGGAACUACUACUUCAUUGUUGGGGAGUGGUCUGUUCUGGAUCAGUCUGGUGGUGGGGUCAGGACUGCAGACUGGCUGUGUACCUCCCUGGAUCCGGACAGGUCACACUUUCGACUGCUUCCAGAAAUGACUGGUUUCCGAAGGUCCACGGUCUGUGGAGGAAUGUGCGCUAGGUUGGAUGGCCACUCCAUGGAAACGGUUUGAUGCGAACUUUCUUUCAUUUCAUUUGAUUCCGUUUCAACACAGAAAGCAACACAGCGAAGUGCAGAAACCUUAUUAGCUGGUUGACCUGACUCUGAAACAUGCUCAAGCAUUGCCUGAAAACGAACCCGUGUACAAAGAUUUAGGUCAGUGAAAGGAACCGGAGAGUCGCAGGUUCACAUUCUGCAUAGCCUGUAGGACUGACUGAGCAACAUUGUUGGACAUCAGUUUUGUUUUUCAGCCUCCCUACAUGCAGCGAGUCGUUUCAGCCAGGAGACAUUUUCCAAGCAGAUGUAUACUUCAAGACGCACUUGAAUGUUUAAGUCCAGUUGAUAAGGAAUCCUCAGUCAAGAGCUACGUUUUGGCCUCAUUAGGUUGUUUUUUCCAACUACCAUUCAGUGGUAACAGUCCACCCAGCAGUUAUCUCCAUUCUCUUCAUCUCAUAUGUUGAGCUCCCGCUGAGUUUUAAUUGAGACAAAACCCAAUUCAUUUGAUGCAAGUAACUUGCUGCUUGGGUCCAAUGAAACGUUUUUGUCGCGGUUACCUUCGUUUUGAUUGGUGUCCAUGUCCUGCCCAACAUGUGACUUCACUCUCCGUCAGCUAAUCUCACUCAAAUGUGUCUCGCUGCCUCGCUGCCCGAGACUCUUUUGGAAAUUACACACCAGAGGCAUAAACAUGCUAUUACUGUGCUUAAGUGACUGCAAGUCAAUUGACAAAGUUGUCAUUACUGGAAUGACUCAGGAGGACUCACAAGGAGCCGACGACUUUUCUAUCAACAGGUAUGGACUGCUGAAUGUGACAGUAAUAAGAGAGACAGUUUUUCAAGGUUGGUUGAACUAAAGAUUUCUGUUUAAAAUACUGGUGAGGGAUUGUGUGUGUCGCCGACACUCAAGGUUGGUUUGAUGAUAGACUCGAUCAGGAUGCGAUCGACAGGGUCCCACAUGGCUCCUUUGCUUCGUAAUGCGAUGUCAUUCAAAGGUAUCCAUCAGAAAUGAAGGGCCGUGGUCGGCCCCUCCCCCACCGUACCCGAAUAUAGUCCACCUCCCAGCCAAGCAGCUGCUGCACAAACACUUACGGUUGGUGUUUACUAUGCAGAAUUUAGCAGGUGUUGCUGCACAAAUGUUAUUUAUUUAUCCAGGUUUUAUUGCUGAGCGAGAAAUACGAAGAGGUGACUCGAGCGUUGGCUGUUUGAACAGGCUGGCUGUAGAACGUGCCAGAUGUGUCACACCGUAGAAGGUCGUGUAAAAGACGAUGUGCGAGUGAUGUCUUCGACCGAGCUGUCGUUUGGAGGGCGACGCCUCGUGAACUCUACUGUUUGAACUGCAGAAAAGAUGAACCAAACAUCGCAGUCGGAGAGAGGACAAGAGCUGUCCAACUCUUUUGUCUCCUGCUGCACGAAGGGCCCUGAGCUCCUCCAGUUCAUAGGUCUGUGCAUGUGCUGAAACUUCAGGCAAGCAUGUCACCCCUCGCUGCUCUCUGGUUGGUUCCCUGUUCUCAGUGAGCUGCGCUCAUCAAACCGCUUUCUUGUCAAGCCUCUUCACAAGCCUGAGUGAGGGCACUUGAGGAAGCCUCUGACAGUGCGUAGGUUGUUGCUCCUCUUGACUGAGCCUGGUCACACAUUAUUUAGAGGAACUUCACAAGUGGUGCAGAAUGAGCACCAUCUUUCCCCCCCAUUUGUCACAAGGGGAAAAAACAGAACAAAUUCCUGUUGUUUUUUUUUUACCAGUCACCAGAGCUUCCAAGAACAUGAAAAGAAACUCAGUUUUUUUAAUUAUGCUUGCUUUACAGUUUUAUUGAGUCCUGCAGAAAGCACAUACUUAGCAUAGUAAGGAAGAAAUACGAUUGUGAAUUGUUCUGUAAUGUAGGUAAUGGGCAUCUACCGCCGACACUGGCCCUUUGCUAGUGUUUACACGGCGCUCAAAACGUCAAAGCAAAACUACAGAACAACUCGUGAGUUACUUUUUGUCUUGUUUUCACCCCAUUUUAUGUGCCAGUUUUCUUCUAUUAAUAGAAGAUUUAUACAUAGAAUAUAUAAUAGAAUUUAUAAUUUGAAUAAUUCUAAAGCUUUAUUCUUAGAACACUGCUCACAAAGUGCUUUACAGGCAGAUCAUGAUUAUAUAUAUAUAAAAACUUCCUUUCCUCAGAACAGUCACACUAUGCAAUAUGGCCCUUUAAGAAAUUGAAUUACCUACCCCUGCUCUAUGGCCAAAGCACAGACUGUAACAUUAUAAGCCAACACCGACAAAAAAAAAAAAAACUGCUACAAAGGUUCAUCCAUAUUUGUGAGCAGCACUGAAAAACCAUUCUUUUAAAAAGGCCAUUUUCUGCAUCCCAUUUCAGCUUUGAUCUACAUUUGCUGAGUGCUCAGCUGGAGAAUGACUCUUCAAUUGACCCUCUAUAUAGCAUACGUAUAACAAAGCAUUGUCCUUCCAACAAGAACAUAUCUGUCUCAGUUCCUCUGCAAGUGCUGCAGAACCACUUCCAGCAUUGAGAAACUGACUCUGCAAGCUUAGACACAACACUGUCACACCCAUUCAAUAGCAAACAGGGCACCGCCUGAUCUCGCACGCUGAAAAAUGAGAAUACAAAAUGUUCUUUUACAAAGCAUCCCAAAUAGUUUUCAGCGUGAAAGGUGAUCUGCGCCACCCCUAAAGGGUCAUUUUGGGUGAGCAAAUGAAAGCGUCCUGAACUCACGAGGCGAAUGAAGCCUUCUCAUUUCUGGAAUGAAAGUUGUGUCAUAAUGCGCGUGACUGUGCAGACUGUUGGUGUGAGGCGGUCGACACAUUAAUGUGUGGUUACUGGCGUAGAUUGGCGCUUGUGUUAAGAAACAGAAACUUAGAGAAAAUCCCUGUGCUGCUUCAGGGAGUGGCCCACACACACACACACACACACACACACAAUACCACAUUACACGAGGAGAUCAGAUUGUUUUUCUAAACAAUAUGGGCGCAGCCCUUGAACAAUAGAUGAGCAACUGGUGAUGGGAGGCAAACGUGUCCGACUAGGGGAACGUACAGGAGAUAUAAAAUACGACUAGCAACACUAGCUAGUCUUGUGAAUGUGCUAGCAGGGAGUUUGAAUUGUGCUCUUCACAGUUUUUUCUUUGGUUUGCACCAAAUGUUUUCUUGAUAAAAAGACUAGUCCUAACCACCGUUUCACUAAGGUGUGUCCAGCUUCACUGUCCAUGGGAAUGUUAAGAGGAGUAUAUCUGGAUGGUGAUCUUUACAACUAACUAGGCUGAGUGGGAGCAGAGCCACUGGAAAAGUUUAGGUUGAUGACUAAAGGUGCAAUGAAGAUGUUUCGCUGACAUUUUAGCUCUCAUUUGCAGCUGAAGCUCAGGAAUGCAAGCAGGGCAGAACUGACAGUGAGUAUCAAUAUUAUUUUGUGAUGGUUAUGUUAUUUUGUGCAAUUGGUCGUGGAUGAUCGGAUGGUCACUCUAAAGGUGAAAGUCUAUUUACUCUCCAAGUGACGUCUUCUGCACUGGUCUGGAAGAUUUAAGACGCAGACUGAAGGUGAAGCAGAAUAUUCGGACACUGAAACUAGUUUAACAGAGACUAGCCCUCCACCACGGUUCCUUGUCUCAAAACUUUCACAAAAUAAAGUCCAGCUGAAACUUCAUAGCUUAAACAGUGUGUGUCUGACGGGUUGGAACACCACCCCAGGGCCCUCUGAGGACCGAUCUGGACGAUGGGUUGUGGUGCAGGGCUGAGUGUCAGCGGUGGGACUUAGAAGCUUGCACUGCAUCACCUCUCCUUGCAGAAAAUGCGACUGUGACUUUUACUCUCAGAAGGAAACUGACGCAAUUCAAACAAACCUCGUGUAAAGACGUCUUGGCAUGUGCAGCGAUGGUGUGAGAGAUCAGAGCAGAUCACAAAUUAUGCUGCCACCCACUUUCUUUCUGAAGGACAGGAAUCAAACGGCAACACCUGCAGAACACCUGCGUGAAGCCAAGUCAGGCCAAAUUGUCUUUUAAUAUCGUCAUGUGUUGCUGGUCUUGCGCUGGUGUACAUUUAAUAACAAGCAUCCUGCUGCGACACCUAUUUGCUCAGCUCAGCUCUGUAUGUUUGAUAUUUUGCUUAUGGGGUGUGGCUGUUUUAGCCUCCGCAGAUCAUUUUCAGUUGAGAUCAAGUGCUGCUUCCACACGGCCCGUGUCAUGUGCUCUUUUGUAAAUGUUGGAUGGCCUGAAGAAGUUGUGUGCUCAGCAGCCCUCAGCUGGUAGUUGUUGGUACACCAAACUAAGUCAAUGAGCAAAGCCAUGUAUUUUUGCAUUUCCUGCUUUUACGGUACUUGUGUCAGUUAUUCUGCAAGCGGAAGGUUCAGAGGUGGUUUUUGUGGAGGUAAACAGGCUUCCCACGUCGAUUUUCUGUCUGGCUUGAGCAUAAGGCUACAUGGGAAAGGGUGUGUUUCCUGCUUCUAGGUGUGUCAACCAGAGUGAACUCGUGCAAAUAGCUUGGCUCAAAGGCACGAUGAGUCAUGGCUCAUGACUACAAUGAAAACAUGGCAGGUCACAGACCAGAAUAUGAAAUCAGAGGAUUAGAAAGGGAACACAAGUCUGAAUGACUUUUUUGUGCUGGCGCGUCUGUAUUCUUCUAUUCAAGAGCAUUCACAUCAUGCUAUAAGAUCUGUUAGGAGAGCUGCGCUUCGUCACCAGGAACAUGAGUUACGGCCAGGGAGCGUCCUGUCGAGUUCGUGCACAUGUGGGAAUGUGUGCCUGAUUAUAGUUUGGCAGGUUCAGUCAAGGUGGAGAUGACUUGAGUAAUCGCGUCAAGUCUGAUAAGAUAUAUCAACUCAUGUGAGUAUAAUCCAGCGGCCCAUGACUUUCAAUAGAUGUUUGCUGGAGGGGCAAACAUUGAUACUUUUGUAAGAAUGUCACGUUCAGGUCAAGUCUUUGUGUCGGUCUGAACAUUGGUAUAGUCACUUCAAAUGUCAUCCGAUAAAAAUGUCUUCUUUUUGUCUGAUUAAAAUGCAAAGCUACAAUAACAUUUAUUAAUAUUUAAUAAUACACAAUUCCAUGAGUCAGACAAAUAACUGAGUCAUUUCAAAAGACACUGUUAGGCAACGUCGUCACGUUUGGCGUUUCCUGGAUGUGGGCCCGGCCUCACAAGUCGGUACCGACGCCCCAACACUGAUGCCAGUGAAGCAACAGCGUUCUGCAGUCUUUGUUAUUAAGGACACGUUCAUGUUUGAAGUGAAAACUCGAUUCUGUUUUAAACUCAAAUCUCAUCAUUCAGCUCGGCAGUCAUCACAUUCAAAAUGUAUAAUCCAGUUACACGUUAUAUAUAAACAUAUAAUGCAACUAUUAUUACUGCCCGUGACAUGAUUUCAUGUUUCAUUAUGUGUAUAAUCAGGGUUGCGCGGUCAUUCUCGCUACAUAUCCCAUAAUGACAGUGAAUGUUAUUGAAUCUUUAGAUUUAAGUGCUUGAGAUAGUUUUAGUUUUGCAUCCGUGGUGAAAGAGUUUUGAGUCUGGUGCUUCGGACAGAAGCCGCACGACUCACCAAACACAACACAUUUACGCUGUCGACUGGUCUGUUUGGCUGCAAAGUGAAUUCAUUUUGGACGAGAGUGGUUUAAUGUGCUUUUGGCAAUAAAAAAUGUAAAAAUAUUCAGCAUGUUUUCCUCGACUUGGCUCAGAAAAAAAGACAAUUUAAUCACACAAUAAACUGCUUCAAUAACAUUCCUAAGCAUCGAUCAAGUUCGAUUCCUCUCCAGCAGGUUUGAACAUCAUGAUCUUGGCUGAUGCGCCGAGGAAGAAGAAGCAUUUGAGCAGGGUUUGGCUGAUGAUUGCCUUUGUUUCUUAUAGAAACCUGCAGGUUUACUGUUGACACAGACAACAUGUCGCCUUUAAUGUAGCUUCAGCAGUUGAUGAAAUCCUUGUCGAGUCAAAGUACGACUUUCUCUGGCUGUAAUCUCUGUUGAUAAACACAAUCAACAACAUCAGAGGUCACAUAGAGGCGCAUUGUCUUCCUCUCAAUCGGUCAAUAAAAGUCAUCUGAGGCAUUUCCAACCGCUGGAAUCCACUACACAAACCAGCUUGAGAGCAAACACAACAGUGCAUUGUACUUGCAGUUUUUAACAAUGCAACAUUGUGGAAAUAGUGUCACUCUCGUCGCCAGCCAACGCUGAAAUUAGAAGAGGAAAGAAUGUGGACCGCAGGAACAGCAAAAGAAAGACACCACUGGUUUUGUCUGUUCCUGAUAAACGUCUAAAGUCAGUGUUAUGAGAGCGUCUUCAGACGCCAAGUGCCAGCGCCCGUUCCUGCUGCCCCCACUUAUCGCUGCAAAACAAAGUGGCCUUAUUUUUGUAAAUGGAUCCUUUAUCUGUGUAAACACAAAACGCUUGUGUCUUGGAAUUAGUUCCUCGGCUCUUGAGCCAUAACCAAUUUACCUUUAAUGAUCGAGAAACAUAAGACUUGUGGGUGUUACCUCAUCAUUUUAACUCAUUUU